Long non-coding RNA from Perognathus longimembris pacificus (Pacific pocket mouse), 431 nucleotides. RefSeq lists it as uncharacterized. The record is from RefSeq and is a predicted model, not a curated record. The transcript has 3 exons. Lineage: Eukaryota; Metazoa; Chordata; Mammalia; Rodentia; Heteromyidae.
UUUUCUGUGUAUAAACAAGUCAAUCCUAACAGCCUAUGUGGGAACAUGGAAAACCCCAAAUCCAACCAUACUGAAUAAACUCAAAAAUUGUCAGCCAAAUUUCCUUUAAAAACUAAAACUUUUGAUGCACCAGAAGCUCUUAUGACACUCAACCACAUUUAACCUUCCAUCAACAAACCCAAGAUUUAAGCAUUUUUCCCCCACUGUUCCUUCCUAUGUCUGAAUAUAGAAAUGCUUAUUAAUUCAUGCAUCAAAAAUGCGCUGUGAGACCUACUAGUGUUGACCUUCCCUAAGAACUCAACACAAGCUAACGAACUCCUCAAAAUGCUCACCUGGAAACAUCUUGUUCAUCUGCCGGUGGCUGAGACCUAUCAACAGAAGACAACUAAACAGAAACCCAAAUCUUAAUCUGUUGAUGAAACUAUAAUGGA